UGGCUCAGGAUGAACGCUAGCGACAGGCCUAACACAUGCAAGUCGAGGGGCAGCACAAGGAGCAAUCUGAGGUGGCGACCGGCGCACGGGUGAGUAACACGUAUGCAACCUGCCUGUAAGCGGGGAAUAACCCGUUGAAAGACGGACUAAUACCGCAUAAUACUAAAUUACUGCAUGGUAAUUUAUUUAAACAUUUAUGGCUUACAGAUGGGCAUGCGCAUGAUUAGCUAGUUGGAGAGGUAACGGCUCCCCAAGGCAACGAUCAUUAGGGGUUCUGAGAGGAAGGUCCCCCACACUGGUACUGAGACACGGACCAGACUCCUACGGGAGGCAGCAGUGAGGAAUAUUGGUCAAUGGACGAGAGUCUGAACCAGCCAAGUCGCGUGCAGGAAGAAUGUCCUAUGGAUUGUAAACUGCUUUUGCAGGGGAAUAAAGUGAGCCACGUGUGGUUUUUGUAUGUACUCUGCGAAUAAGGAUCGGCUAACUCCGUGCCAGCAGCAGC
This 502-nucleotide ribosomal RNA is filed under the name uncultured bacterium. Its description in RNAcentral is "bacterial SSU rRNA". It matches the Rfam family "Bacterial small subunit ribosomal RNA", at positions 20 to 518 of the family's 1533-position model. The record is from RNAcentral.